CCCUUAGAUGUCCGGGGCUGCACGCGCGCUACACUGACUGGCUCAGCGUGUGCCUACCCUACGCCGGCAGGCGCGGGUAACCCGUUGAACCCCAUUCGUGAUGGGGAUCGGGGAUUGCAAUUAUUCCCCAUGAACGAGGAAUUCCCAGUAAGUGCGGGUCAUAAGCUUGCGUUGAUUAAGUCCCUGCCCUUUGUACACACCGCCCGUCGCUACUACCGAUUGGAUGGUUUAGUGAGGCCCUCGGAUCGGCCCCGCCGGGGUCGGCCCACGGCCCUGGCGGAGCGCUGAGAAGACGGUCGAACUUGACUAUCUAGAGGAAGUAAAAGCCGUAACA
This 334-nucleotide ribosomal RNA is filed under the name uncultured eukaryote. RNAcentral describes it as "partial 18S ribosomal RNA". It matches the Rfam family "Eukaryotic small subunit ribosomal RNA", at positions 1470 to 1796 of the family's 1831-position model. The record is from RNAcentral.